This 33-nucleotide ribosomal RNA is filed under the name Villarsia manningiana. Its description in RNAcentral is "partial 26S ribosomal RNA". The record is from RNAcentral. Lineage: Eukaryota; Viridiplantae; Streptophyta; Magnoliopsida; Asterales; Menyanthaceae.
CGACCCCAGGUCAGGCGGGACUACCCGCUGAGU